This 1013-nucleotide ribosomal RNA is filed under the name Bacillus cereus. RNAcentral's name for it is "bacterial SSU rRNA". It matches the Rfam family "Bacterial small subunit ribosomal RNA", at positions 202 to 1195 of the family's 1533-position model. The record is from RNAcentral. Lineage: Bacteria; Bacillati; Bacillota; Bacilli; Caryophanales; Bacillaceae.
AAUUGACGGGCCGCUUCCGCAGUCAAUUAUGGAAGGACCCGCGUCGCAUUACAAAUUUGGAGAGGUAACGGCUCUCCAAGGCAACGAUGCGUAGUCGACCUGAAAGGGUGAUCGGCCACUGUGGGACUAAGACACGGACCGGACUCCUACGGGAGGCAACAGUAGGGAAUCUUCCGCAUUGGACAAAAGUCUGACGGAGCCACGCCGCGUGGAUGAUGAAGGCUUUCGGGUCGUAAAACUCUGUUGUUAGGGAAGAACAAUUGCUUCUUUAAUAAGCUGGUACCUUGAAGGUACCUAAUCAGAGAGCCUCGUGUAAUUAUGUGCCAGGAGGCUACCGUCAUACGUACGUUGCAAGAGUUUCCCGGAAUUAUUGGGCAUCAACCGAGUGCUAUUGAUGUCUUUUCCUUGAUGUGAAAGAUCCAAGGCCCCAACCGGGGAGGGUCAUUGGAAACUGGGAGACUUGAGUGCAGAAGAGGAAAGUGGAAUUCCAUGUGUAGCGGUGAAAUGCGUAGAGAUAUGGAGGAACACCAGUGGCGAAGGCGACUUUCUGGUCUGUAACUGACACUGAGGCGCGAAAGCGUGGGGAGCAAACAGGAUUAGAUACCCUGGUAGUCCACGCCGUAAACGAUGAGUGCUAAGUGUUAGAGGGUUUCCGCCCUUUAGUGCUGAAGUUAACGCAUUAAGCACUCCGCCUGGGGAGUACGGCCGCAAGGCUGAAACUCAAAGGAAUUGACGGGGGCCCGCACAAGCGGUGGAGCAUGUGGUUUAAUUCGAAGCAACGCGAAGAACCUUACCAGGUCUUGACAUCCUCUGAAAACCCUAGAGAUAGGGCUUCUCCUUCGGGAGCAGAGUGACAGGUGGUGCAUGGUUGUCGUCAGCUCGUGUCGUGAGAUGUUGGGUUAAGUCCCGCAACGAGCGCAACCCUUGAUCUUAGUUGCCAUCAUUAAGUUGGGCACUCUAAGGUGACUGCCGGUGACAAACCGGAGGAAGGUGGGGAUGACGUCAAAUCAUCA